Molecule: ribosomal RNA, 447 nt
Filed under: uncultured bacterium
Lineage: Bacteria
Description: partial 16S ribosomal RNA
Rfam family: Bacterial small subunit ribosomal RNA
Source: RNAcentral
CCCAGACUCCUACGGGAGGCAGCAGUGGGGGAUAUUGCACAAUGGGGGGAACCCUGAUGCAGCGACGCCGCGUGGGUGAAGGAGCGUUUCGGCGCGUAAAGCCCUAUCGGCAGGGAAGAAGGAGGACGGUACCUGACUAAGAAGCCCCGGCUAACUACGUGCCAGCAGCCGCGGUAAUACGUAGGGGGCAAGCGUUAUCCGGAUUUACUGGGUGUAAAGGGGGCGCAGACGGCAGCGCAAGCCAGGAGUGAAAGCCCGGGGCCCAACCCCGGGACUGCUCUUGGAACUGCGCGGCUGGAGUGCAGGAGGGGCAGGCGGAAUUCCUGGUGUAGCGGUGAAAUGCGUAGAUAUCAGGAGGAACGCCGGUGGCGAAGGCGGCCUGCUGGACUGCGACUGACGUUGAGGCCCGAAAGCGUGGGGAGCAAACAGGAUUAGAUACCCCCGUAA